Molecule: ribosomal RNA, 496 nt
Filed under: uncultured Glomus
Lineage: Eukaryota; Fungi; Glomeromycota; Glomeromycetes; Glomerales; Glomeraceae
Description: SSU rRNA
Rfam family: Eukaryotic small subunit ribosomal RNA
Source: RNAcentral
AGCAGCCGCGGUAAUUCCAGCUCCAAUAGCGUAUAUUAAAGUUGUUGCAGUUAAAAAGCUCGUAGUUGAAUUUCGGGAUCAAUUUAUUGGUCGUGCUUUUGUACGUACUGGCAUUUUUGGUUUCUCCCUUCUGAAGAACCAUGAUGUCAUUAAUUUGGUGUCAUGGGGAAUCAGGACUGUUACUUUGAAAAAAUUAGAGUGUUUAAAGCAGGCUCACGCUUGAAUACAUUAGCAUGGAAUAACGAAAUAGGACGUUUGAUUCUAUUUUGUUGGUUUCUAGGAUCGACGUAAUGAUUAAUAGGGAUAGUUGGGGGCAUUAGUAUUCAAUUGUCAGAGGUGAAAUUCUUGGAUUUAUUGAAGACUAACUACUGCGAAAGCAUUUGCCAAGGAUGUUUUCAUUAAUCAAGAACGAAAGUUAGGGGAUCGAAGACGAUCAGAUACCGUCGUAGUCUUAUUCCAUAAACUAUGCCGACUAUUGUUCGACAUGUUCUGGAAG